CCUACGGGAGGCAGCAGUGGGGAAUUUUGGACAAUGGGCGCAAGCCUGAUCCAGCAAUGCCGCGUGAGUGAAGAAGGCCUUCGGGUUGUAAAGCUCUUUUGUCAGGGAAGAAACGGCUGAGGCUAAUACCUUCGGCUAAUGACGGUACCUGAAGAAUAAGCACCGGCUAACUACGUGCCAGCAGCCGCGGUAAUACGUAGGGUGCAAGCGUUAAUCGGAAUUACUGGGCGUAAAGCGUGCGCAGGCGGUUUUGUAAGUCUGACGUGAAAUCCCCGGGCUCAACCUGGGAAUUGCGUUGGAGACUGCAAGGCUGGAGUCUGGCAGAGGGGGGUAGAAUUCCACGUGUAGCAGUGAAAUGCGUAGAGAUGUGGAGGAACACCGAUGGCGAAGGCAGCCCCCUGGGUCAAGACUGACGCUCAUGCACGAAAGCGUGGGGAGCAAACAGGAUUAGAUACCCUGGUAGUCCACGCCCUAAACGAUGUCUACUAGUUGUCGGGUCUUAAUUGACUUGGUAACGCAGCUAACGCGUGAAGUAGACCGCCUGGGGAGUACGGUCGCAAGAUUAAAACGUCAAAGGAUUGACGG
Molecule: ribosomal RNA, 585 nt
Filed under: uncultured bacterium
Lineage: Bacteria
Description: bacterial SSU rRNA
Rfam family: Bacterial small subunit ribosomal RNA
Source: RNAcentral